Molecule: small nuclear RNA, 18 nt
Filed under: Arabidopsis thaliana (thale cress)
Lineage: Eukaryota; Viridiplantae; Streptophyta; Magnoliopsida; Brassicales; Brassicaceae
Description: snRNA_06740
Source: RNAcentral
AAAAGCUCGUUUGAUUCU